Molecule: ribosomal RNA, 253 nt
Filed under: uncultured bacterium
Lineage: Bacteria
Description: partial 16S ribosomal RNA
Rfam family: Bacterial small subunit ribosomal RNA
Source: RNAcentral
UACAGGGGGUGCAAACGUUGCUCGGAAUUAUUGGGCGUAAAGCGCGCGUAGGCGGCUACUUAAGUCGGAUGUGAAAGCCCUUGGCUCAACUGAGGAAGUGCACCCGAAACUGAGUGGCUUGAGUACAAAAGAGGGUCGCGGAAUUCCCGGUGUAGAGGUGAAAUUCGUAGAUAUCGGGAGGAACACCGGUGGCGAAGGCGGCGACCUGGGUUGAUACUGACGCUGAGGCGCGAAAGCGUGGGGAGCAAACAGG